RNAcentral lists this unclassified non-coding RNA (372 nucleotides) under Chorizema parviflorum. Its description in RNAcentral is "partial miscellaneous RNA". The record is from RNAcentral. Lineage: Eukaryota; Viridiplantae; Streptophyta; Magnoliopsida; Fabales; Fabaceae.
UUAGCUGUCGUUGAGUCUCCAUCUAUAAAWGGAUAAUAUUUUGGUGUUAAAGUAUACUAGUUUUUGAAAGUAAAAGAGCAAUAUCAGCAGAGUUGAUAUUGCUCUUUUACUUUUCAUAGUCUUUUUUUAUACAUUUUUAUACAUAAAUUGKGGAUUUAUUAUAAUUAUAAUUAUAAUUUUAUUAGAAUUAUAAUAUUUAUAAUUAUAAUAUUUUUUAGCCUUUUUUAUUUCAAGAUAAGAGAUAAAAAAAUGAAUYUUCCCCCGCCCCCCUUUUUUUUUUCUUAGAAGACGAGUAAAGACUUAGAAAAAAAAAGAAUGCGAACGAAACAAUACAAAUGAAGUUYCCGUAAUUUUUACAURAAAAUAGGGGCG